Molecule: non-coding RNA, 139 nt
Organism: Hordeum vulgare subsp. vulgare (domesticated barley)
Lineage: Eukaryota; Viridiplantae; Streptophyta; Magnoliopsida; Poales; Poaceae
Source: Rfam
AGUGUAGAUGAAGAAGAAGUGGUCUUCCACAUCCUUAAUGGACUCGAUGAGGAGUUCGAUCCGGUGGUUUCGGCCAUGUGCUCUCGGGUUGAGCCCGUCAGGGUCCCGGAGUUGUACUCACAACUCCUCAGCUUUGAGA